This 1292-nucleotide ribosomal RNA is filed under the name Paenibacillus sp. 11B. RNAcentral's name for it is "partial 23S ribosomal RNA". It matches the Rfam family "Bacterial large subunit ribosomal RNA", at positions 1581 to 2878 of the family's 2925-position model. The record is from RNAcentral. Lineage: Bacteria; Bacillati; Bacillota; Bacilli; Caryophanales; Paenibacillaceae.
AGUAGCGAAGGUCAUGAUCUCACACUGCCAAGAAAAGCCUCUAGCCAGGUGAUGGUGCCCGUACCGCAAACCGACACAGGUAGGCGAGAAGAGAAUUCUAAGGCGCGCGGAAGAACUCUCGUUAAGGAACUCGGCAAAAUGACCCCGUAACUUCGGGAGAAGGGGUGCCCCGGUAGUGUGAAUAGCACGAGGGGGCCGCAGUGAAAAGGCCCAAGCGACUGUUUAGCAAAAACACAGGUCUGUGCGAAGCCGUAAGGCGAAGUAUACGGGCUGACGCCUGCCCGGUGCUGGAAGGUUAAGGGGAGCGGUUAGGAGCAAUCCGAAGCUGUGAACCGAAGCCCCAGUAAACGGCGGCCGUAACUAUAACGGUCCUAAGGUAGCGAAAUUCCUUGUCAGGUAAAUUCUGACCCGCACGAAUGGCGUAACGACUUGGGCGCUGUCUCAACGAGAGAUCCGGUGAAAUUUUAAUACCUGUGAAGAUGCAGGUUACCCGCGACAAGACGGAAAGACCCCAUGGAGCUUUACUGCAGCUUGAUAUUGAAUUUGGGUACGAUCUGUACAGGAUAGGUGGGAGCCUUUGAAACGUGAGCGCCAGCUUGCGUGGAGGCACCGUUGGGAUACCACCCUGAUCGUAUCUAGGUUCUAACCUGGUACCGUAAUCCGGUGCGGGGACAGUGUCAGGUGGGCAGUUUGACUGGGGCGGUCGCCUCCUAAAGAGUAACGGAGGCGCCCAAAGGUUCCCUCAGAAUGGUUGGAAAUCAUUCGAAGAGUGCAAAGGCAUAAGGGAGCUUGACUGCGAGACCUACAAGUCGAGCAGGGACGAAAGUCGGGCUUAGUGAUCCGGUGGUACCGCAUGGAAGGGCCAUCGCUCAACGGAUAAAAGCUACCCUGGGGAUAACAGGCUUAUCUCCCCCAAGAGUCCACAUCGACGGGGAGGUUUGGCACCUCGAUGUCGGCUCAUCGCAUCCUGGGGCUGAAGUAGGUCCCAAGGGUUGGGCUGUUCGCCCAUUAAAGCGGUACGCGAGCUGGGUUCAGAACGUCGUGAGACAGUUCGGUCCCUAUCUGUCGUGGGCGUAGGAAAUUUGAGAGGAGCUGUCCUUAGUACGAGAGGACCGGGAUGGACGUACCGCUGGUGUACCAGUUGUUCCGCCAGGAGCACCGCUGGGUAGCUAUGUACGGAAGGGAUAAGCGCUGAAAGCAUCUAAGCGUGAAGCCCCCCUCAAGAUGAGAUUUCCCAGUAUGUAAGACCCCUUGAAGACGACGAGGUAGAUAGGCUGGGGGUGGAAGUGCAG